GUUUCCGUAGUGUAGUGGUUAUCACAUUCGCCUUACACGCGAAAGGUCCUCGGGUCAAAACCGAGCGGAAACA
This 73-nucleotide transfer RNA is filed under the name Pongo abelii (Sumatran orangutan). Its description in RNAcentral is "tRNA-Val (TAC) (tRNA-Val-TAC-4-1)". It matches the Rfam family "tRNA". Rfam says of the family: Transfer RNA (tRNA) molecules are approximately 80 nucleotides in length. Their secondary structure includes four short double-helical elements and three loops (D, anti-codon, and T loops). Further hydrogen bonds mediate the characteristic L-shaped molecular structure. tRNAs have two regions of fundamental functional importance: the anti-codon, which is responsible for specific mRNA codon recognition, and the 3' end, to which the tRNAs corresponding amino acid is attached (by aminoacyl-tRNA synthetases). tRNAs cope with the degeneracy of the genetic code in two manners: having more than one tRNA (with a specific anti-codon) for a particular amino acid; and 'wobble' base-pairing, i.e. permitting non-standard base-pairing at the 3rd anti-codon position. Lineage: Eukaryota; Metazoa; Chordata; Mammalia; Primates; Hominidae. The record is from Rfam by way of RNAcentral.